Molecule: ribosomal RNA, 839 nt
Filed under: uncultured Candidatus Nitrosopelagicus sp.
Lineage: Archaea; Thermoproteati; Nitrososphaerota
Description: bacterial SSU rRNA
Rfam family: Archaeal small subunit ribosomal RNA
Source: RNAcentral
UCCUGCCGGACCUGACUGCUAUCGGAUUGAUACUAAGCCAUGUUAGUCUUUGUAGUAAUACAAGGCAUACGGCUCAGUAACACGUAGUCAACCUAACUUAUGGACGGGGAUAACUUCGGGAAACUGAUGAUAAUACCCGAUAGGUCAUUAUGCCUGGAAUGGUUUUUGGCUUAAAUGAAUUUCGCCAUAGGAUGGGACUGCGGCCUAUCAGCUUGUUGGUGAGGUAAUGGCCCACCAAGGCUAUAACAGGUACGGGCUCUGAGAGGAGUAGCCCGGAGAUGGGUACUGAGACAAGGACCCAGGUCCUAUGGGACGCAGCAGGCGAGAAAACUUUGCAAUGUGCGAAAGCACGACAAGGUUAAUCCGAGUGUUUCCUGCUAAAGGAAUCUUUUGUUAGUCGUAGAACCACUGAUGAAUAAGGGGUGGGCAAGUUCUGGUGUCAGCCGCCGCGGUAAAACCAGCACCUCAAGUGGUCAGGAGGAUUAUUGGGCCUAAAGCAUCCGUAGCCUGUUUUGCAAGUCUUCGGUUAAAUCCACAUGCUUAACAUGUGGGCUGCCGGAGAUACUGCAAAACUAGGGAGUGGGAGAGGUAGACGGUACUUGGUAGGAAGGGGUAAAAUCCUUUGAUCUAUUGAUGACCACCUGUGGCGAAGGCGGUCUACCAGAACACGUUCGACGGUGAGGGAUGAAAGCUGGGGGAGCAAACCGGAUUAGAUACCCGGGUAGUCCCAGCUGUAAACGAUGCAGACUCGGUGAUGCAUUGGUUUAUUGCCAGUGCAGUGCCGCAGGGAAGCCGUUAAGUCUGCCGCCUGGGGAAGUACGUACGCAAGUAUGAAACUU